AUGAAACCUAAUGAGUUAAAUCCAACUUACCUUUGGCAUUGCCGAUUAGGCCACGUCCAUUAUUCAUCGAUAAAUUAUGGUUCUCGUGCGGAACAAUGGUGUUAUAUGUGGGAAUUAACUUUUGAUUCCUGCGUUCUUUUCACAUUCAAACACUCAUAUAGCGAUUCACUGAAUUGGAGCUUUCUCGACCAAAAAAUAUAAAUCUUCUGAAUCUGAAAUGUAGAUCUCUCUUCUUGAUCCUCUCUAAU
RNAcentral lists this long non-coding RNA (248 nucleotides) under Lathyrus oleraceus (garden pea). Its description in RNAcentral is "Pisum sativum (pea) long non-coding RNA (PSAT_LNC023519)". The record is from RNAcentral. Lineage: Eukaryota; Viridiplantae; Streptophyta; Magnoliopsida; Fabales; Fabaceae.